AUGCUAUCACUUUGGCAGCACAUAUACUGCAAUUGGAACAAUGUAGAGAAUAUCAGUAUGGCCCCUAUGCAAGAAAGACACAACAUUGGUGAAGUGUUCCAUAUUUAA
Mastomys coucha (southern multimammate mouse) is the source of this 108-nucleotide small nuclear RNA. The record is from RefSeq and is a predicted model, not a curated record. NCBI's taxonomy places the organism in Eukaryota, Metazoa, Chordata, Mammalia, Rodentia, Muridae.